GGAGGUAAGUGGAGGAGGGGUCUCCUCUCUUUGAAUCACUAAAGUGAGAUUCAACUCCUCCAACUUCUCUCC
RNAcentral lists this microRNA precursor (72 nucleotides) under Haemaphysalis longicornis (longhorned tick). RNAcentral's name for it is "mir-1175 microRNA precursor family". It matches the Rfam family "mir-1175 microRNA precursor family". Lineage: Eukaryota; Metazoa; Arthropoda; Arachnida; Ixodida; Ixodidae. The record is from Rfam by way of RNAcentral.